CGUAGGACACAAGCGUUAUCCGGAGUUACUGGGCGUAAAGGGCGUGUAGGCGGAUCGGUAAGUCUACUCUGAAAGCUCCUGGCUAAACUGGGAGAGGCGAGUGGAGACUGUCGGUCUAGAGUGAGGAAGAGGAAAGUGGAAUUCCGCGUGUAGUGGUGAAAUGCGUAGAGAUGCGGAGGAACACCAGUGGCGAAAGCGGCUUUCUGGUCCUUAACUGACGCUGAGGCGCGAAAGCAUGGGGAGCGAACGGGAUUAGAAACCCCGGUAGUCCAUGCCGUAAACGAUGUUCACUAAACGUUCGUUUCCCGCGAGGGAAGUGGGUGUUGAAGCUAACGCAGUAAGUGAACCGCCUGGGGAGUACGGUCGCAAGGCUA
This 374-nucleotide ribosomal RNA is filed under the name uncultured organism. Its description in RNAcentral is "bacterial SSU rRNA". It matches the Rfam family "Bacterial small subunit ribosomal RNA", at positions 526 to 896 of the family's 1533-position model. The record is from RNAcentral.